This 366-nucleotide ribosomal RNA is filed under the name Triticum aestivum (bread wheat). RNAcentral's name for it is "partial small subunit ribosomal RNA". Lineage: Eukaryota; Viridiplantae; Streptophyta; Magnoliopsida; Poales; Poaceae. The record is from RNAcentral.
AUGAAGAAAGGUGCUCUCGCUCUCUUCCUCAUCCUCCUCACCUUUGCUUUCCAUGGCAUAUGGUGUGAAGCAGCUCGGAGAGGCACCAUGCCUGAUGCAGCUCAUCAUCAUCUGAGGCCUCAUCUCCAGGUGCAGAGAUUGCAUGAAACCCAAGGCAGGAGGCUCCUGGGGAAGCUGGAGCACAUGGCAGGUGGUGGCCCCGGCGGUGGAGCAAGUGGCGGCGGGAGGAACACCGGUGGCGGUGCGGCGAACACGAGGCCGCACAAUACCAAGAACGGCGGCGCUGUGGCGCUGCCGGACCCGGUGACCUCCGUUCUGGCACUGGUCUUCAGCACUACCAUUCUUCUCUCGGUGCUCAGCUUCUAA